GGGGGUAAUUGGUAUCGACUAGGUGAACUAGCGGUUGAGAAGCGAGGAGACGUACCCAGGUUACUAGUCUAUAAACAGUACCUGGAAAACUCACUUGCCAAGAGCAACGUGAUCCGGGGUGUGUUCAGCCGCAAGGCUGCGCCCGCCCUCCUCGCGGCCUAAUCCCCCGCGACUGCAAAUACGAGACUUUCGUCGAUCGUAGGCGCAGCCAAUAGACGGAUGCUGUAGGUUUCGGGCUACCAGGAACCUAAGUAAGCACUAUAGGUAGUUGCGUUUCCAUACGCCUUGUUCCUUGAGCGUAUGGAGACAAAGAACCAUCAAGUAACUAUCCUCGUAGAAGGCUUCCCUUAGUCAUUCUAGGACGGGGGUUCGAUUCCCC
This 379-nucleotide transfer-messenger RNA is filed under the name Hyphomicrobiaceae bacterium. RNAcentral describes it as "partial transfer-messenger RNA". It matches the Rfam family "transfer-messenger RNA". Rfam says of the family: Bacterial tmRNA, also known as 10Sa RNA or SsrA, is named for its dual tRNA and mRNA-like properties. Its role is to liberate the mRNA from a stalled ribosome. Lineage: Bacteria; Pseudomonadati; Pseudomonadota; Alphaproteobacteria; Hyphomicrobiales; Hyphomicrobiaceae. The record is from RNAcentral.